This 253-nucleotide ribosomal RNA is filed under the name uncultured bacterium. RNAcentral describes it as "partial 16S ribosomal RNA". It matches the Rfam family "Bacterial small subunit ribosomal RNA", at positions 526 to 779 of the family's 1533-position model. The record is from RNAcentral.
CGGAGGGUGCAAGCGUUAUCCGGAUUCACUGGGUUUAAAGGGUGCGUAGGCGGGUAUGUAAGUCCGUGGUGAAAUCUCCGAGCUUAACUCGGAAACUGCCAUGGGUACUGCGUAUCUUGAAUGUUGUGGAGGUGAGCGGAAUAUGUCAUGUAGCGGUGAAAUGCUUAGAUAUGACAUAGAACACCAAUUGCGAAGGCAGCUCACUACACAAAUAUUGACGCUGAGGCACGAAAGCGUGGGAUCAAACAGGAUU